GAUGAAGAACGUAGCGAAAUGCGAUAAGUAAUGUGAAUUGCAGAAUUCAGUGAAUCAUCGAAUCUUUGAACGCACAUUGCGCCCGCCAGUAUUCUGGCGGGCAUGCCUGUUCGAGCGUCAUUUCAACCAUCAAGCCCCCGGCUUGUGUUGGGGACCUGCGGCUGCCGCAGGCCCUGAAAACCAGUGGCGGGCUCGCUAGUCACUCCGAGCGUAGUAAUACAUCUCGCUCAGGGCGUGCUGCGGGUUCCGGCCGUUAAAAAGCCUUAUUUACCCAAGGUUGACCUCGGAUCAGGUAGGAAGACCCGCUGAACUUAAGCAUAUCAAUAAGCGGACGA
This 335-nucleotide unclassified non-coding RNA is filed under the name soil metagenome. RNAcentral describes it as "partial contains 5.8S ribosomal RNA, internal transcribed spacer 2, and large subunit ribosomal RNA". The stretch from base 1 to 120 matches the Rfam family "5.8S ribosomal RNA", at positions 35 to 154 of the family's 154-position model. The record is from RNAcentral.